This 321-nucleotide ribosomal RNA is filed under the name Triticum aestivum (bread wheat). RNAcentral's name for it is "partial small subunit ribosomal RNA". The record is from RNAcentral. Lineage: Eukaryota; Viridiplantae; Streptophyta; Magnoliopsida; Poales; Poaceae.
UUUUUGAAGUUGCAACCGUAUGCCCAACACUCAGUGGUAAAUAGGCCUUGUGCUAAGUUGGCCUAUAAGUAUUAUGGUCCUUUUCAGGUUCUGGAGUGUAUAGGUCCAAUGUUUUCUCAGUUGCCUGCAGCUGUCGACUUGUCAGGUGUUCAAGUGGUGCCAGAGAGGAUUCUUGAACGCAAGAUGGUGAAACGCCACAACAAGGUGCAGGUCCAAGUGUUGAUUCAGUGGUCUGGUUUAGCAGCUGAAGCAGCCACCUGGGAAGACUAUGAUGUCUUGAAGAACAGGUUCCCGGACGCACCAGCAUGGGGACAUGCUGCA